GCAAGUCGAGCGAGACGGUUAUGAUUGAUACUUCGGGGGAGAGAUCAACCAGAAAGCGGCGGACGGGUGAGUAACGCGUGGGUAACCUACCACAUACACAGGGAUAGCCAUUGGAAACGAAGAUUAAUACCUGAUAAUACAUUUUUAACACAUGUUAUGAAUGUCAAAGAUUUAUCGGUAUGGGAUGGACCCGCGUCUGAUUAGCUAGUUGGUAAGGUAACGGCUUACCAAGGCGACGAUCAGUAGCCGGCCUGAGAGGGUGAUC
RNAcentral lists this ribosomal RNA (265 nucleotides) under uncultured bacterium. Its description in RNAcentral is "partial 16S ribosomal RNA". It matches the Rfam family "Bacterial small subunit ribosomal RNA", at positions 57 to 305 of the family's 1533-position model. The record is from RNAcentral.